CCGGUAGUAGGUAAGCGUAUUAACAGGGGUGACGCAGGAAGGUAGCCCGGCGUGGCGAUGGUAGACCACGUCCAAGGCUGUAGGCCGUCUGGUAGGCAAAUCCGCCAGGCAUGAAGGCUGAGAGCUGACGGUGAGCGCACAAGCGCGAACUGGGUGAUCCUAUGCUGCCAAGAAAAGCCUCGGCGCGAGGUUCUAGCCGCCCGUACCCCAAACCGACUCAGGUGGUCAGGUAGAGAAUACUAAGGCGAUCGAGAGAAUCGUGGUUAAGGAACUCGGCAAAAUGCCCCCGUAACUUCGGGAGAAGGGGGGCCCGAAGCGUGAACACCCUCGCGGUGGGAGCGUGGACGGCCGCAGAGACCAGGGAGAAGCGACUGUUUACUAAAAACACAGGUCCGUGCGAAGUCGCAAGACGAUGUAUACGGACUGACGCCUGCCCGGUGCUGGAAGGUUAAGAGGACGGGUCAACCCUUCGGGGUGAAGCUCAGAAUUUAAGCCCCAGUAAACGGCGGUGGUAACUAUAACCAUCCUAAGGUAGCGAAAUUCCUUGUCGGGUAAGUUCCGACCUGCACGAAUGGCGUAACGACUUCUCCGCUGUCUCAACCGCGAACUCGGCGAAAUUGCACUACGAGUAAAGAUGCUCGUUACGCGCAGCAGGACGGAAAGACCCCGGGACCUUUACUAUAGCUUGGUAUUGGUGUUCGGUGCGGCUUGUGUAGGAUAGGUGGGAGACUGUGAAGCCCGUACGCCAGUGCGGGUGGAGUCAACGUUGAAAUACCACUCUGGCCGCUUCGGAUGUCUAACCUCGGUCCGUGAUCCGGACCAGGGACAGUGCCUGGUGGGUAGUUUAACUGGGGCGGUUGCCUCCUAAAAUGUAACGGAGGCGCUCAAAGGUUCCCUCAGCCUGGUUGGCAAUCAGGUGUCGAGUGCAAGUGCACAAGGGAGCUUGACUGUGAGACUGACAGGUCGAGCAGGGACGAAAGUCGGAACUAGUGAUCCGGCGGUGGCUUGUGGAAGCGCCGUCGCUCAACGGAUAAAAGGUACCCCGGGGAUAACAGGCUGAUCUUGCCCAAGAGUCCAUAUCGACGGCAUGGUUUGGCACCUCGAUGUCGGCUCGUCGCAUCCUGGGGCUGGAGUAGGUCCCAAGGGUUGGGCUGUUCGCCCAUUAAAGCGGUACGCGAGCUGGGUUUAGAACGUCGUGAGACAGUUCGGUCCCUAUCCGCUGCGCGCGCAGGAAACUUGAGAAGGGCUGUCCCUAGUACGAGAGGACCGGGACGGACGAACCUCUGGUGUGCCAGUUGUUCCGCCAGGAGCACCGCUGGUUGGCUACGUUCGGAAGGGAUAACCGCUGAAAGCAUCUAAGCGGGAAGCCUGCUUCAAGAUGAGGUUUCCAUACCCUACGGGGUGAGAGGCACCCAGCAGAACACUGGGUCGAUAGGCCGGACGUGGAAGCGGGGACGAAAGACCCGUGCAGCUGACCGGUACUAAUCAGCCGACAACUUCAACA
This 1504-nucleotide ribosomal RNA is filed under the name feces metagenome. RNAcentral's name for it is "bacterial LSU rRNA". It matches the Rfam family "Bacterial large subunit ribosomal RNA", at positions 1443 to 2925 of the family's 2925-position model. The record is from RNAcentral.